RNAcentral lists this ribosomal RNA (447 nucleotides) under uncultured bacterium. Its description in RNAcentral is "partial 16S ribosomal RNA". It matches the Rfam family "Bacterial small subunit ribosomal RNA", at positions 29 to 523 of the family's 1533-position model. The record is from RNAcentral.
AACGAACGCUGGCGGCAGGCUUAACACAUGCAAGUCGAACGCCCCGCAAGGGGAGUGGCAGACGGGUGAGUAACGCGUGGGAAUCUACCUAGUUCUACGGAACAACAGAGGGAAACUUCUGCUAAUACCGUAUACGCCCUAUGGGGGAAAGAUUUAUCGGAAUUAGAUGAGCCCGCGUAAGAUUAGCUAGUUGGUGAGGUAAUGGCUCACCAAGGCGACGAUCUUUAGCUGGUCUGAGAGGAUGAUCAGCCACACUGGGACUGAGACACGGCCCAGACUCCUACGGGAGGCAGCAGUGGGGAAUAUUGGACAAUGGGCGCAAGCCUGAUCCAGCCAUGCCGCGUGAGUGAUGAAGGCCUUAGGGUUGUAAAGCUCUUUCAGUGGGGAAGAUAAUGACGGUACCCACAGAAGAAGCCCCGGCUAACUUCGUGCCAGCCGCCGCCGUAA